Molecule: ribosomal RNA, 117 nt
Filed under: Pteropus alecto (black flying fox)
Lineage: Eukaryota; Metazoa; Chordata; Mammalia; Chiroptera; Pteropodidae
Source: RNAcentral
GAUUAUAUGUUUUUCCAUGAACAAGCCCGAUCCUGUCUGAUCUCGGAAGCUAAGCAGGGUCAGGCCUGGUUAGUACUUGGAUGGGAGACCACCUAGGAAGACCAGGUGCUGUAGGCA